GGAGAGGUGGCAGAGCGGUUGAAUGCGCCGGUCUCGAAAACCGGUUACGGGGUUCUCUCCGUACGAGGGUUCGAAUCCCUCCCUCUCCG
Molecule: transfer RNA, 89 nt
Filed under: Solirubrobacteraceae bacterium
Lineage: Bacteria; Bacillati; Actinomycetota; Thermoleophilia; Solirubrobacterales; Solirubrobacteraceae
Also listed under: 1 other name
Description: tRNA-Ser
Rfam family: tRNA
About the family: Transfer RNA (tRNA) molecules are approximately 80 nucleotides in length. Their secondary structure includes four short double-helical elements and three loops (D, anti-codon, and T loops).
Source: RNAcentral